GCAUUUUGUGUGUCUGUCCACCCGUCUAAAAAACGGGUGUUAGCAAGGGCCGGGCAAGACCGGUGCCAGCCGCCGCGGUAAUACCGGCGGCUCGAGUGGUGGCCGAUAUUAUUGAGUCUAAAGGGUCCGUAGCCGGCUUUGCAAGUCUUUUGGGAAAUCCAGCGGCUUAACCGUUGGGCGUCUGAGAGGUACUACAUUGCUUGGGACUGGGAGAGGCGAGAGGUACUCAAGGGGUAGGAGUGAAAUCCUGUAAUCCUUUGGGGACCACCGGUGGCGAAGGCGUCUCGCCAGAACAGGUCCGACGGUGAGGGACGAAAGCUAGGGGCACGAACCGGAUUAGAUACCCGGGUAGUCCUAGCCGUAAACGAUGCUCGCUAGGUGUCACGGCAGUCGUGAACUGCCGUGGUGCCGUAGGGAAGCCGUGAAGCGAGCCACUUGGGAAGUACGACCGCAAGGUUGAAACUUAAAGGAAUUGGCGGGGGAGCACCACAACGGGUGGAGCCUGCGGUUUAAUUGGACUCAACGCCGGGAAGCUUACCGGGAUCGACAGUUGUAUGAAGGCCAGGCUGAAGACCUUGCCGGACUAUCUGAGAGGUGGUGCAUGGCC
Molecule: ribosomal RNA, 607 nt
Filed under: uncultured archaeon
Lineage: Archaea
Description: bacterial SSU rRNA
Rfam family: Archaeal small subunit ribosomal RNA
Source: RNAcentral